RNAcentral lists this ribosomal RNA (388 nucleotides) under uncultured bacterium. RNAcentral describes it as "bacterial SSU rRNA". It matches the Rfam family "Bacterial small subunit ribosomal RNA", at positions 30 to 416 of the family's 1533-position model. The record is from RNAcentral.
AUUGAACGCUGGCGGCAUGCUUUACACAUGCAAGUCGAACGGCAGCACGGGUGCUUGCACCUGGUGGCGAGUGGCGGACGGGUGAGUAAUACAUCGGAACGUGUCCAGAAGAGGGGGAUAACGCAUCGAAAGAUGUGCUAAUACCGCAUAUGCUCUGAGGAGGAAAGUAGGGGAUCGAAAGACCUUACGCUUUUGGAGCGGCCGAUGUCUGAUUAGCUAGUUGGUGGGGUAAGGGCCUACCAAGGCGACGAUCAGUAGUUGGUCUGAGAGGACGACCAGCCACACUGGGACUGAGACACGGCCCAGACUCCUACGGGAGGCAGCAGUGGGGAAUUUUGGACAAUGGGCGCAAGCCUGAUCCAGCAAUGCCGCGUGAGUGAAGAAGGCC